Oncorhynchus gorbuscha (pink salmon) is the source of this 1050-nucleotide long non-coding RNA. RefSeq lists it as uncharacterized. The record is from RefSeq and is a predicted model, not a curated record. NCBI's taxonomy places the organism in Eukaryota, Metazoa, Chordata, Actinopteri, Salmoniformes, Salmonidae. The transcript has 3 exons.
GGCUUGACUCUGCUGUCAAUGAAUUUCUUCAACUGCACCAAGUUUUCGCGAAUCUCCAUUCGCACAAUCUCCCAUGCGCAUGCGCUGUGUUCCUGGAGAGCGGACAAGAUAAACAUUUUAUGUCAGUCAACUCAACCACUGCAGGUGUUGUUGAUCUAGCGCAUCCAUCGACAUAAAAACGGCACUUGGCAAUUCCAAGUUUCAAAUAGUAACCGACCCUCCAUCUCCAGAGGAUUCCCAAACACCACCCACGACCUGGAGACAAUAUAAAAUGCUGCCUAAAUACGUCAGGGGCAUGUGUUCCACGGCGAGACUGGCCCAUGUUGACUCCAAUACUUCCCACAGUUGUGUCAUGUUGGCUUGAUGUCCAAUAGGAGUGGAUCAUUGAGGGAUCAUUGCUUUCACCUGGAUUCAGCUGGAAAGUCUAUGUCAUGGAAAGAGCCGGUAUUUCUAAUGUUUUGUACAAUCAGCGUAUAACCUACAGCCUACACAAGAGGGAUCAUACUUACACAUAACUCUAAGUUUUGAACUUGACGAUAUAUGACGUUUUGGAACAUGUUAAGUUUUGUUCUGUUCCACGUGACUGGCGUCAGACUGUUGUUAUAUAAUUGGUCCACAUAUCGCAUAGCCUCUAAUGCAACCAACGAGACGUCCUCAUCCUGAAUAAAAUAAAACAGGGUUUUAGGUUUUAGGCAAUGGUUAAACUACCAAUUUACCAUACUGUACUUUAGUGAUACCUAACUUUAGGCUAUCAAUAUACUGAUGUGUAUCCUACCUCUGUGUUCUUGUAAAGAUCCUCUGGAAACAUUUGUUCGACGUUUUCUUCUGCACACAUAAGUGGAAAGAGUCCACCCUGAAAUAGAAUUCAUAUCAAUAUCAAUAAGUAAACUAUAUUGUGCUAGUAACCUUAAAUUAAACAUUGUGGUACAGAAAGUGAAAGCAUUGAUUAAAAAUAAAAUGUGUUAUAAUAAAAAAAAUAGAUGUUUGAAUAUCAUUGCGAAUUUUGCUCAUCAAUUGUGCACACCAAAUAGCGGACUGCUGCAGUUUAUU